UAGCGUUUAGCUGCAUUAAAGCGCAGCUUCUUCAUCUAUCCUUUGUGUCCUAUUAUCACACUGAAUUUCAGAAGCCAAGUGUGGAACAGCCCUGCUAUAAUCACGCUGCUGUGUGGGAGGCUAAAACAGUACAUAGAAGAAGGAGCAAGCCUAUUUCUGUGGCUGUUAUGCUGGGCUUACAGUAAAAAGCACAUGAGACUUGAGGGAAUGACGAAACCCCGGGCAAGCAGGAAUCAGGGGACAGAGCUAUAGGAAGACAGAAGUUGUUUCUGGGGUUCAAGAUGGUGGAGUAGAAGGAUGUGCGCUCACUCCCUCUUGCGAGAGCACCGGAAUCACAACUAACUGCUGAACAAUCAUUGACAGGAAGACACUGGGACUCACCCAAAAAGAUACCCCACAUCCAAAGACAAACGAGAAACCACAGUGAGAUGGUAGGAGGGUCACAAUAAAAUCAAACCCCAUAACUGCUGGGUGGGUGACUCACAAACUGGAGAACACUUAUAUCACAGAAGUCCACCCACUGGAGUGAAGGUUCUGAGCCCCACGUCAGGCUUCCCAACUUGGGGUUCCGGCAAUGGGAGGAGGAAUUCCUAGAGAAUCAGACUUUAAAGGCUAACGGGAUUUGAUUGUAGGACUUCGACAGGACUCGGGGAAACAGAGACUCCACUCUUGGAGGGCACACACAAAGUAGUGUGCGCAUCGGGACCCAGGGGAAGGAGCAGUGACCCAGACCUACCUGGGAGACCUACCAUAGAAGACUGAACCAUACCUACCUGCUAGUGUUAGAGGGUCUCCUGCAGAGGCAGGGGGUAGCUGUGUCUCACUGUGGGGACAAGGACACUGGCAGGAAGUUCUGGGAAGUACUCCUUGGCAUGAGCCCUCCCAGAGUCUACCAUUAGCCCCACCAAAGAACUGGGUAGGCUCCAGUGUUGGGUGGCCUCAGGCCAAACAACCAACAAGGAGGGAACUGAGCCACACCCAUCAGCAGACAAGUAGGUUAAAGUUUUACUGAGCUCUGCCCACCAUAGCAACACCCAGCUCUACCCACCACAAGUCCCUCCCAUCAGGAAAGUUGCACAAGCCUCAUAGAUAGCCGAAUCCACCAGAGGGCAGACAGCAGAAGCAAGAAGAACUACAAUCCUGCAGCCUGUGGAGCAAAAACAACAUUCACAGAAAGAUAGACAAAAUGAAAAAGCAGAGGACUAUGUACCAGAUGAAGGAACAAGAUAAAGCCCCAGAAAAACAAUUAAAAGCAGUGGAGAUAGGCAAUCUUCCAGAAAAGGAAUUCAGAAUAAUGGCAGUGAAGAUGAUCCAGGACCUCAGAAAAAGAAUGGAGGCAAAGAACAAGAAGAUACAAGAAAUGUUUUUAAAAGACCUAGAAAAGUUAAAGAACAAACACCUAGAAGAAUAAAAGAACAAACAAACAGAGAUGAACAAUACAAUAACUGAAAUGAAAAAUACACUAGCAGGAAAAAAUAGCAGAAUAACUGUGGCAGAAGAACAGAUAAGUGACCUGGAACAGACAGGUGGAAUUCACUGUCACAGAACAGAAUAAAGAAAAAGGAUGGAAAGAAAUUACGACAGCCUAAGAGAACUCUGGGACAACAUUAAACACACCAAAAUUCGCAUUAUAGGGUUCCCAGAAGGAGAAGAGAAAGAGAAAGGAGCCGAGAAAAUAGUUGAAGAGAUUAUAGUUGAAAACUUCCCUAACAUGAGAAAGGAAAUAGUCACCCAAGUCCAGAAAGUGCAGAGAAUCACAGGCAGGAGAAACCCAAGGAGAAACAUGCUGAUACACAUAGUAAUCAAAUUGACAAAAAUUAAAAACAAAGAAAAAUUAUUAAAAGCAAUAAGGGAAAAAUGAAAAAUAACAUACAAGGGAACUCCCAUGAGGUGAACAGCUGAUUUCUCAGCAGAAACUCUACAAGCCAGCAGGGAGUGGCAUGAUAUAUUUAAAGUGAUUAAACGGAAGAAUCUACAACCAAGAUUACUCUACCCAGCAAGGAUUUCAUUCAGAUUCAAUGGAGAAAUCAAAAGCGUUACAGACAAGCAAAAGCUAAGAGAAUUCAACACCACCAAAACAGCUCUACAACAAAUGCUUAAGGAACUUCUCUAAGUGGGAAACACAAGAGAAGGAAAAGACCUCCAAAAAAAAACUCAAAAGAAUUAGGAAAAUGGUAAUAGGAACAUACAUAUCGAUAAUUACCUUAAAUGUGAAUGUAUUAAAUGCUCCAACCAAAAGACACAAGCUUGCUGAAUGGAUACAAAAACAAGACCCAUAUAUAUGCUGUCUACAAGAGACCUACUUCAGACCUAGGGACACAUAUAGACUGGAAUGAGGGGACAGAAAAAGAUAUUCCAUACAAAUGGAAAACAAAAGAAAGCUGGAGUAACAAUACUCAUAUCAGAUGAAAUAGACUUUAAAAUAAAGACUGUUACAAGAGACAAGUGAGGAUGCUAUAUAAUGAUCAAGGGAUAAAUCUAAGAAGUAGAUAUAACAACUAUAAAUAUAUAUGCAACCAACAUAGGAGCACCUCAAUACAUAAGGCAAAUACUAACAGCUAUAAAAGAGGAAAUCGACAGUAACACAAUAAUAGUGGGGGAUUUUGACACCUCACUUACACCAAUGGACAGAUUAUCAAGACAGACCAUUAAUAAGGAAAACAAACAUUAAAUGACACAAUAGACCAGAUAGAUUUAAAUGAUAUUUAUAGGACAUUCCAUCCAAAAAGAGCAGAUUACACUUUCUUCCCAAGUGCACACAGAACAUUCUCCAGGAUAGAUCACAUCUUGGGUCACAAAUCAAGCUUUGGUAAAUUUAAGAAAACUGAAAUCAUAUCAAGCAUCUUUUCUGUCCGCAACACUAUGAGAUUAGAAAUCAAUUACAGGGAAAUAAAUGUAAAAAACACAAACACAUGGAGGCUAAACAAUACGUUACUACAUAUAAUGCUACUCUACGUCACAUACAUAUAAUGCUAUAAACCUAAAAUACAAAAUACUCCCACUUCUCUGUCUCCCAAGAAACUUUUAUUUUUUUUUAAUCAAAUCUUGACAGGAGAUUUUCAAAGUAUCUUCAGGCUCUGGUGUUAAAGUUCAUCUUGGUACAGGAAUUCCCAACAUGACAGAACUUUCUUAGUUAUAAUUUGUUUUGCAAGGUGUGAGAACAGAAGUGAUGGCUUGAUUCUUAGAAGUGUCAAUAUGGGAAAAUGAAAAAGGUGAUUACAGAAGUAAGUUACAACUCCAAAGUGCCAAACACAAUGUAAUUUUGGGGAAAAAUAGACUCUAUAAAACUCAUGUUUUCCACUAUAGUCAGAAAACUUUCCAAAUACUGUUUUCUCUUAUGAACAGUAGAUCAAAAUAAAUUAUUUCAAUUUUAACUUUUACCAGAAAUGUAAUGCAGUUCUAUCUGAAGGUAAGAUUUACAGUUUUUUUUUUUAUACUGUGUAAAUUUCCCCUUUAAUUUGGAAUUCAGACUUGCCUUUUAGGUAAGGGACUACUUUUACCAGGGGAUGGGAGUAGGUAUGGUACAAACUACUUCAGUGAACCCCUUAAGCUUAACUAUGAGUCAUGUUCUAGAAAAUGUUAAGUGAAAAAAAUCUUAACAGUGAGGAAGAGACAUAAAAACUUUGAAAUCAUAACUUUUUUAGAACCCAUCAAGAAUCAGAGAUUGUGAAGCAACCAAGAAUUCUGAGUUCCAAGAAAGGACAGGCGUAUCCAGGAAAGGUGGUAUGUGCAGAUCAGCUCACUUCUGUGGCAAAGAACAGAAACAAGAGAUGCCAGCCACCAUCAAAUGCCUAAGAAUAAACCAGCUAAAAUUCAAGGUCUUGCUAAAGGCCUGGUGUAGCCUAUCAUGACAGUGGAAACCCACUCAGGGAUGGGGUAGCUAUUCUUUUUCAGACAAAUUAGAUUUCAGAGGAAAAUUAGAAGGACAUCAUGACAAAGAUUUAAAUUCACCAAGAGGACAUAACAAUCUUAAAUGUGUAUAUACCUAACAAUAGAGCUUCAAAAUCAGAAAGCAAAAACUAACAGAACUGGGAGGAAAAAUAGAUAAAUCCAAAAUUUGAUUUAGAGACUUUAACUGUCUAUUCUCAUAAAUGAUAGAACAAGUAGGCAGAAAAUCAGUAAGAGGGCACAAUGUAAGUGAUAUAUAUGGGCUACGCCACUCAGCCAUGAUAGAGUAUACAUUCCUCCCACGUAUACUGGAAUAUUCAUCAGGAUAGACCAUAAUCUAGGCCAUUAAAAAACAUCAACAAAUUAAAACAGUUGAAUCAUGCAAGAGAUAUUUUCUCAUCACAAUACAAUUACAGUAGAAAUCUAGAACAAAAAGACAUCCUCAAAUAUUUGUCAAUGAAGAAACUUAAUUCUUUGCAAAUCAUGGUAUCUAACUGCUUGAUCAAAGAGGAAAAGUAGAAAAUGUUUUGAAUUGAAUAAAAUUGAAAACACAGUAUAUCAAAAUUUGUGGGAUAAACUAAGGAAAUGAUUAGAGGGAAAUCUGAGAAUUGAAUGCUUUUAUUAAAAAAUAUUGAAGGACUUAAACCAAUGAUCUAAUUUUCCACUAAAUAAUAAGAAAAGCAGAACAAAUUAAAGAUAAAACAAGCAGAAGAGAGAAAAUAAUAAAUAUAGAAAUCAAAAUGAAAGACAGAAGCAACAGAGAAAAAGAAAUGAAAUGCAAGAUGGCUCUUUGAUAAGACAAUUAGAACUAGUAAUUCUUUUGCCAUUCUGGUCAAGAAAAAAGAGAAAACAAAUAUCUAAUAUUAAUUAAUAUAAAUAACAAAAUAACUACAAAUCCUGAAGGUAAGAGAAAAAUAUGCUAAUAAUUUUGACAAUUAGUUGAAAUGGAACAAUUUCUUGAAAGAUACAAACAAACAAAGUCUCAGAAAAAAAUGAUCUGAAUACGUAGUACUACAUCUAUUCAAAAAAUUGAAUUUAUAAUUUAAAACUUUCCUGCAAAGAAAACUCCAAGGGCACACAGCUUGACUGGUAUAUUCUACCAAACAUUUAAGGAGAAAAUACUACCAACACUAAACAUACAGAAAAUGGAAGAAGAAGAAACACUUCCCCACUUAUUUUAUGAUGUGAAGAUUACCCUGAUGCCAAAAAGCAGACAAAAACAUUACAAGAAAAGAAAACUACCCAUCAAUAUCCAUUCUGAAUAUAACUGAUAAAAUACUACUUUAUUAAAUCCAGCAGUAUAUAUCCAUCAUGACUAAGUGGAGUUUACCUUAAAUCAAGUUUGUCUCUACAUUAAAAACAAUCAAUUAUAUUCACUAUAUCAAUAGACUAAAGAAGAAAAAUCACAGACCACCAUUUUAUAUAUAUAUAUAUAUAUAUAUAUAUAUAUAAAUUCAAAAUUCUACCAUGAUUAAAAAUAGUCAUAACAACCUCAACAA
This is a long non-coding RNA of Globicephala melas (long-finned pilot whale), 5387 nucleotides long. RefSeq lists it as uncharacterized. NCBI's taxonomy places the organism in Eukaryota, Metazoa, Chordata, Mammalia, Artiodactyla, Delphinidae. The record is from RefSeq and is a predicted model, not a curated record.